AACUCCAACUGUUGCUAUCUGCACUGGUGAUUUUUUUAUUAGAGUCUUUCUCUUCUGAAUCAUAUGCUAUACACCCAUUAAAUCUAUGGUCCUAAAGAGCCAAUUGGUUUUUCUGGGUAUAAGCACAACUCCAUUUGUACUCGCAAACUAAAAUGCGAUAUUGCAGUUUCCGGUUAGCUUUGUUGUAUUUACUGUUUAUUUACGUAGUGUUAUAGUGCUAACAUACAAGUGUACAUUUGUCCUUUUCAUACUCCUUUUAAAAAAAUUCAUUCUCUAACUCUUUACAUUUUAAGCAGUGAGUGUUGAACAAUAACAUGUUUAGCAUGCAGUAAUUCAUCCUGUAGGCGUGUGAUCACAUUCAGGAGUUAAUUUCUGUAAAAAAAAUAGAUAUAGAUUGUAAAGCUCAAUUUCACAUUUCCUGGUAAAAUCAUGAUAUGGGAUUCCACAAGCAAACCUGCAUGUUUCUAUUUUAGGUUAUGCUUCUCUCAUUGCUAAGUAUGAGCAGCUCAUUCUAAUGCCCAUGUUGUUUUGUUGAACUAGGAAAGUUGAGUUGCGACUUUAACUUUCCUAUAUAUGUGUUGUGUGCGUUUAUGAUAUUGUCAUUCUAAUGCCCAUGUUGUUUUGGGCCAACUGGGAAAGUACUGUUGCAACUUUAACUUUCCUAUUUAUAUGUAGUGCAUGCCAUGCUGUUGUUUUAUCUUCAACCAGGCUCUGAUUUUAUACAGCCUUAGGUUGGCUUGGCCUGGCCAGUUAUGCUCCAAAGGUUCAAUAAGUCAAGCAUCCUUUGCCUUAGAUGUUUCCAGAGCAAACUUAAGGAGUUGAUGGCUGGACUGAUCUCAAAAGCUCGCAUGACGUGGUACAUGGUUAAAGCCUAAAGAUUUUAUUUCACCCAUUUAAUUAUCUUCUAUGAAUAUAUCUAUGCAUUGUAUUUUUUUUCUUUCUCUGAACAAUCAUGGCAGUGUAUCUCCUCUGUGCAUUAUUUUUAUUGUUUCUUUGUGGAUGCAAGUGAGACUUGUUUCUCUGCUUCUAUAAUCUGGCAGGUGAAUUUUUGAUACAUUCCGUGGUUCUUCAGUGCGUCAAGUUGAAUUUAUCGGUUUGUCCACUAAAGAACUGGGUAAGUUCUUACUUUUCUUGACCGUAAUAUAUGUGGUUGAAAUAUAAUAAAUCCCGCUAUGUAUUAAUCAAGGAAGAGAUGUGUCUAGCAACUAUUUUCCCUGGCACACCCCUUAUAAUGGACGACAGUAAUAUGCUGUGUCUUUUAGCAUUGCAAGCAACUCUCCUGACUUUUUCAUCUUCCCUUGGUAGCUUCUGUAAACGUAGGCAGCACUCAGAACCAGGAAAGAAAGUAGCCGGACAGGAGUAGGUAGGGGAUUUAAUUUGGAGCAACUUAUUCAUUAAUUAAUCACUCUAUCUGUUAUACCUGGACAUGAUUUGACUCCUUAAAUUUCUUUUUUUUUCAUUUGUUACAUUCACUAUAUAUUAUAAAUGGUGCGCAGAAUAUUAUGAUAUAUGAACGCUUGAGUUCAAGUGAAUACUAACUGGAACAAUGGAACUGUUUGAGGUAUUUGUUAUGGUUGCUGAAUCCUUUCUUCCGUACUGGUCACCUUUAGUUACCUGUCAUGUAUAUUGCGUAGUUGGGUAGCAAUGCUUUGUAUUCAACCAAACAUGAGGAUGUUAUAGGUAGCAUGGAUUUUCUGCCAGACGUAUUAUAGAGAACUUUCUCUAGGUUGUCUUUAACUCUUGUCCUUUGGGACAGUUUUUAUUCUGGUGCACGGGAGAUUACAUUGCAAAUCUUCAUGAUCAAGGCAGGCACCUUCUUGUCAGUUAUUGAAACAUGGAAAACAAGCUUAUCGUGAUCAGGGCAUCUUCCUCCCAUUAAAUACGCUCUAGAUUCGAUCAUUCCGCUUGCAUAGCAAGUCCUUGCCCCUGCAUCUGACAGGCAAAAUGUACGCGUCUUUCCAGGAUCAUGAUUUGAUUGUCUCAAGUUAACAAUGUUAUCGAGACCAUAAAAGAGGUUCCGUUCAUCGGUUGAUUGAAUGCUGGGCCUGCCUGUCAAGGCAUGCUCUGUAAAGAUUAUCUAAUUUGACGAGGAGAAUGCUUGGAUCUUGAAAUAGCACAGGAGGGUUACAUUACAGUGAGAAAGGACGGUCUCGUAGCAUGUAAGCUUGUCAAUUUCUCCUCCC
Long non-coding RNA from Populus trichocarpa (black cottonwood), 2183 nucleotides. RefSeq lists it as uncharacterized. NCBI's taxonomy places the organism in Eukaryota, Viridiplantae, Streptophyta, Magnoliopsida, Malpighiales, Salicaceae. The record is from RefSeq and is a predicted model, not a curated record. The transcript has 2 exons.